This 763-nucleotide ribosomal RNA is filed under the name uncultured Streptococcus sp. RNAcentral describes it as "bacterial SSU rRNA". It matches the Rfam family "Bacterial small subunit ribosomal RNA", at positions 28 to 776 of the family's 1533-position model. Lineage: Bacteria; Bacillati; Bacillota; Bacilli; Lactobacillales; Streptococcaceae. The record is from RNAcentral.
GAUGAACGCUGGCGGCGUGCCUAAUACAUGCAAGUAGAACGCUGAAGCUUGGUGCUUGCACCGAGCGGAUGAGUUGCGAACGGGUGAGUAACGCGUAGGUAACCUACCUCUCGCGGGGGAUAACUAUGGAAACGAUAGCUAAUACCGCAUAAAAGUCGACAUUGCAUGAUGUUGACUUGAAAGGUGCAACUGCAUCACUAAGAGAUGGACCUGCGUUGUAUUAGCUAGUUGGUGAGGUAACGGCUCACCAAGGCGACGAUACAUAGCCGACCUGAGAGGGUGAUCGGCCACACUGGGACUGAGACACGGCCCAGACUCCUACGGGAGGCAGCAGUAGGGAAUCUUCGGCAAUGGACGGAAGUCUGACCGAGCAACGCCGCGUGAGUGAAGAAGGUUUUCGGAUCGUAAAGCUCUGUUGUAAGAGAAGAACGAGUGUGAGAGUGGAAAGUUCACACUGUGACGGUAACUUACCAGAAAGGGACGGCUAACUACGUGCCAGCAGCCGCGGUAAUACGUAGGUCCCGAGCGUUAUCCGGAUUUAUUGGGCGUAAAGCGAGCGCAGGCGGUUAGAUAAGUCUGAAGUUAAAGGCUGUGGCUUAACCAUAGUACGCUUUGGAAACUGUUUAACUUGAGUGCAGAAGGGGAGAGUGGAAUUCCAUGUGUAGCGGUGAAAUGCGUAGAUAUAUGGAGGAACACCGGUGGCGAAAGCGGCUCUCUGGUCUGUAACUGACGCUGAGGCUCGAAAGCGUGGGGAGCAAACAGG